This 301-nucleotide ribosomal RNA is filed under the name uncultured bacterium. RNAcentral's name for it is "partial 16S ribosomal RNA". It matches the Rfam family "Bacterial small subunit ribosomal RNA", at positions 509 to 807 of the family's 1533-position model. The record is from RNAcentral.
CAGCCGCCACGGUAAUACAGAGGAUGCAAGCGUUAUCCGGAAUGAUUGGGCGUAAAGCGUCUGUAGGUGGCUUUUCAAGUCCGCCGUCAAAUCCCCGGGCUUAACCUGGGAACUGCGCUUGUGACUGCACAGCUAGAGUAUGGCAGAGGGGGGUGGAAUUCCACGUGUAGCAGUGAAAUGCGUAGAGAUGUGGAGGAACACCGAUGGCGAAGGCAGCCCCCUGGGCCAAUACUGACGCUCAUGCACGAAAGCGUGGGGAGCAAACAGGAUUAGAUACCCCAGUAGUCCCUGUCUCUUAUAC